AUGCUGUUGUGUAUUCAUAGCAAGAUCAUUAGAAACCUGUAACACUGUUACUCCUUUGAUGUACGACCAGGCAGUUAAGAACUAGUGAACACAAAGAACUCUCCCGACAACAACAGUCAGAAGAACAGACUCAUAUCUGAAGUGUCAAACAUUUCUGUAUCCAAUGCAUUCAUUAUGUAUAAGACUUCAUUAACAGUGAUAAACCAAAAUGUGACUCUACUCAAGAAGAAUAAGAAACACAUUGCACACUACUGCCCUUUCUGUCCUAAUUAAAGCUGUCUAGUCAUAACAAUGCUGUUUUUUAUCAGUGUGACAUAUUUUGACUGUGGCCAUAGGGAAAUCUGCUAAUCUUCCUUAACACAAUCUGAACUGUUUGAAGGGCACAGUAAAACACACAAAUUCCAUGGCAUUCCCUUAAUUUAUGACUAAGUAAUGAUGCAUAAGUGUUUUUUUUUCUUCUUUCUUUAUUUAGUAGAACCCAAGGCCAAUUUGCGUUUGAUUAACACAACAAUUAUGAAAACAGCAUGAAAUGGAUCAAUUUCCUCAUACGAGCUCAGCAGAAUUUGUAAAUCUUACGUGCAAGAGUACCAAAUGAAGGAGCGCUUGGAGUCAGGGAUGAAGGUGUCGGGGAUCCAGAGCAAGGACACGAGGCGUCCAUCCACGCUGACGCUCUCAUUUCCCGGGAACACCAGCCUGGAGUCCCGCCAGCGCUGACGAAGGAAGAUGGUUGCAGUGUAGUCCUAAAAAGGUAUUGCCAUCACAUUGAAAAGCUCCCAGGACCUCAGCAAAGCAUUUCCAUUAAAUUCCAAUGUAUUAUUUACACAGCUCUGCCAAUGUGAUUAAUGACGCAUAUGAACACUAUUUAUUUUCUCUUUCUAAUGGCCAUAAUGAAAGUUAAAGAGCCAUAGAAUGUCAUUUGGUUGUUUUUCUACACAUGCCAGUUGAUGAUUCAUUCACGCAACAAUAUGUUUCAUGAGUUAUCUUUACCACUUUGCAGCUUUGGCUAAAGUCUCAGCUGAUUAUUGGUGUUGGUUUAGGCAUGCCCUCUUCCUUCUCUCAUCCCGCUUUCACACUCCCUAUCAGUUCUUUUCCUUCAGCCAUGUUUCAGCUAAUAGAUUUAUAAUAUAUCUCUUUAUUUCUUUUCUUUACGUUUGCUCAGUCUGUGCAUGCACAUGCCAAAGAAAUAUGUAUUUAUAUAUCCCAUCUUGUUAAAAAAAAUAUGUUUACACAAUGUUCUCAUUCUCAGGUUUGGUCUCAUCACGGCUCUCUCUUUCUCCUACCUGUUUC
Long non-coding RNA from Sander lucioperca (pikeperch), 1287 nucleotides. RefSeq lists it as uncharacterized. Lineage: Eukaryota; Metazoa; Chordata; Actinopteri; Perciformes; Percidae. The transcript has 4 exons. The record is from RefSeq and is a predicted model, not a curated record.